RNAcentral lists this long non-coding RNA (1384 nucleotides) under Amphimedon queenslandica. Its description in RNAcentral is "uncharacterized LOC109585654, transcript variant X2". The record is from RNAcentral. Lineage: Eukaryota; Metazoa; Porifera; Demospongiae; Haplosclerida; Niphatidae.
UUCAUGUACAUGUACAUGUAGGUUGGGAGUCUCAGUUAUUUGAAAUGGGUUUCCUUGCAAUGUUCUUAUCUCCAGUUUUGAGUUUGAGCCAGUUUCCAAGUCACACGCCCACAAGCUGGACCAAUGUCUGGGGAAAUCGCUGGAUGAUAUUCCGCAUUAUGAUUGGAGCUGGUUUGAUAAAGAUGAGAGGCGAUAGCUGUUGGAGGGACUUGACUUGUAUGAACUAUCAUUAUGAGGGUCCUCCCACUGUUGUUAAAAGAGACAGUGAUCUGUCUUGUGUUAGUGUCUUAAGUUUAAGUGAAGGGAAUCAGAAAGAGGAGGAGGAGGAGAAAAGGCGUCAAUCACUUGUAGAACAGGAGCUAUUAUAAUGUUUAUAGACAGGCAAGAGAGCUAUUUGAUGAUAAACCUCAUCAAUACAUCACUAAUGACACUACACCAACUGUCUCUGGCAAAGCCACACCCACUAUCACCAUGGCAACCAAUAAUCACCACAAAAGUGCUGACUCAUCAAAAUCAUUGAUUAUGGCACCUAAAAUUAUGAUGCCUAAGAGUACUGUUACUAUAGUAACCAACACUGGGUGGAGUCUACUUUUUAAUGACACACCCACUUGCAAUCAGAGCAUUAAAGUGUCUGACUUUAAUAAGAAAGGUUCUGGUGUUUCCAAAGCAACACAAGCCAGUUCUGGGUGUGGCUCAACACUCUCUCCUCCUUGCACUUUAAAGAUGCUCUCCGAUACUGUUUCCAUGGCAACAAAAGCUGAUAGGACGAUGAGUUUUGGUAGCUUCAGUGACGGGUCUGGGGGCGUGGCUUUUAGUUGCUAUGACGACAGCAAAUGUGAUGCUUUUGUGGAAGACGUAUACAAAGUUUUUUGGAUGCUUCUCCUCCUCCUUUGACUCCACCCACUUCAUCAUUGACUGACAGGAAAUACACUGAUACUUCAUUACUGCUGUUUCCUAAAAUACAGUGUACUACUGAUGUCUCUUCUAUCCAAUCCACUGACACUACUAUUGAUGACCAGUGGAACAUUGCUGAUAGCAUAUCACAGAAAUACCUAACCAAGAACAUCAUACAACCACCACCACAGCUCCUCCCUCCUCCUCCUCUCCUUCCCUAGUGCUAAUUCUUCAUUAGUUCCUCAUGAGUUCAGUGUGGAUAGUCAGUCUUAUCUGAAGAGACAUGUCUCUCAGUAUUGUCACUAGAGGAGAAUGAUGAAAACUAUGUGGCAUUAUCAGGAGUAAACUAUUGGAACUCUUCUUUAUGUGUCAUUUUAAGAAGGAUAUCCAGCAUUUUUGUGAUUUUACACAAUUUUAUCAAUUUUCAUUAUCAAUUUAUUUUUGUCUAUGUUUUGCAAUGCUUAGCUGCUAAAGUAAAGUGGUCCUUGCA